RNAcentral lists this unclassified non-coding RNA (210 nucleotides) under plant metagenome. RNAcentral describes it as "partial contains small subunit ribosomal RNA, internal transcribed spacer 1, and 5.8S ribosomal RNA". The record is from RNAcentral.
UUUCCGUAGGUGAACCUGCGGAAGGAUCAUUCAUAAUAAAGUGUUUUAUGGCACUUUUAAAGAUCCAUAUCCACCUUGUGUGCAAUGUUAGAUCUCGUCAAUCUUGGCGAGAUUUUUAUACAUCAACUCAUUCUUUAACUAAUUUGUCUGAAAAAUAUUAUGAAUACUUAAUUCAAAAUACAACUUUCAACAACGGAUCUCUUGGCUCUC